Long non-coding RNA from Sorghum bicolor (sorghum), 1204 nucleotides. RefSeq lists it as uncharacterized. The transcript is spliced from 3 exons. Lineage: Eukaryota; Viridiplantae; Streptophyta; Magnoliopsida; Poales; Poaceae. The record is from RefSeq and is a predicted model, not a curated record.
UUCGCUUAGAUUCAGAGUUGAUCUUUGUUUAUUCCCUACCAUUGAUUUAUCACCGUUUUUUAUAUUGAUUUUUUUACAAAAAAAGAUGGAUGCAUAAAUGAUAAAACAAGCAUUUGAUAGCACAUGUCUUCCCGAGAGUUGGAAACUAAGUUCAAAAUUGUGUUUCUAUAUACUUUUUGUUUGUAGUUUUGUGAAUCACUGUUAGACAUAGCAAUGUCAUGGAUGUAUGAUAGUAGGAUACGCUCAGAUCCGCUUGCUAUUCUAAAAAGGGUUUGCAGCAGUUGCAUUGUUGAUCAAUGAACUUAGUUGAUUGUAGAAUACAACCUUGUGAUUAUUUUGGGACAUAACAAAGCACAAGGCUAUCUGAUUACACUUACAUCCUCUUGCUAAUUUUGAAAAGCUUGCAGCGGUUGCCCUGCUGAGUUGAAACUACAGAACCUUGUGUUUACUUGUAUUCCAGAAACCAGAACUGUGGAUGGUGGUGGAUUACGUUUCCAUAGUUUGUUGAGAUACCUUUGUAAAGUAGUUUUGGGCCCAAAUAAUCCAAGCCUACACCAACUUGCAUGAAUAGUCUCUUACUCUCAGGCUAAGAACAGGCGAUUUGUCGGUAAUAUACCCCAUGAUUAGACGCAUGAUGUUUUCAAAAAUGCAGUGUUGAGCUGUCGCGGAGGUGGCUGUCGUACUCAUGGCAGUGGUGGUGCGGCAAUGGCAGUGGUGGAUCCAGCACCAGUGGAAAGCAGCAGAGGGGCAACAACGGUCGAAGGGAUUAUUGUUCCAUAUUGAUGCUAGCAUUUGUUGCUGUUGGCAUUCAGUAGUUAGACCUUCAGAGCCUAGCACUAAAAGAGUAUUGCUGCUGUGUUACCAUGCUGGGUGUAUAUCUUAGAUAGUACUGGAAACUGUACUCUAGUAUUUUUUUUCUUUGUGUGGUGUGUCUCGGUAACAAACUGCUGUUGUUAGAAUGACAAUACUGCAAGUGGCAGAUGCGGUCUGGGAUGAUGUGGUAUUCUAUUUGUGUGCCAAGGUUGAAUAGAUGUGAUAGUCGCUGCUGAAGAAGCAGUGUACUCUUUUGCCGUGUUCAGUUUGAGGAACUGAAUGUGGUGGGUAAAACGAGAUGUGCCAACCAAUCACUACCUCUAGAUUAAUCUUGAAUACUACAGUUCCAAUGUUUAUUCUGUGUUGACAAAAAAAAAAUGAAUUCAGUGCU